This 1773-nucleotide long non-coding RNA is filed under the name Homo sapiens (human). RNAcentral describes it as "HSALNT0316817". Lineage: Eukaryota; Metazoa; Chordata; Mammalia; Primates; Hominidae. The record is from RNAcentral.
GGGAUUCUGGGGAAGAGCUGCCGCUGACCCACAAAGCCAGUGAAGCCCAUUCCCCUUUCUUUGUCUCUCAUUUUAGACUGUAGCUGUCUAAAGGGCGUGAUAAUAAGAGGAGAGGGUGGUUUAGCUUCCCCUGGAGAGGGAGGUGUUGAGACUUGAUCUGAGGCUGUUAAACCCUUUUAUCUCCUUCCCGUGGGGUUGUGGCUUUAGCUCCCCAUUGAGGAUUCCUGCCUGCUCUUCUCUGACCUCCCCUCUACUCCAGGCCUGAAUAGCCCAGGUGUUUACCUGCCACGACACAGACACUUCUUGCUUAGGCUUACAAUUUUAACACAGGGGGAGACAAAGUUGUAGUUUUUCUACUCCUUUGCCUUCACUCCUGUUUAAUUUUCCACUGUGGUCAGAUAAGUAUUUUUUAAACGACCGUACUCAAACUUCUGGUACUGAGCAAUGGGGGAACCUCACUAUGGCUGUAAACCCUUCCACUGGACACUAAUCAAAUGCAUUGCCUCCCAAAAUGAACAUCCUUGGAAGUACCAGAAAAACCCAGCCUCUGAGCAACCCCCAAACCAAAGUAGCCUCAUCAUGCCAAAACUAGGCCAGGUUUUAAGGGUGCACGUGCCUCAAAAUAGCAUCCAGCCUUGAUUGAUUGAUUGAUUAAUUGGCCAAGCGGGUGUGCUGGGGGUGGUCUUGCUGUGUUGCCCAGGCUGGUCUGAAACUCAUGGCCUCAAGCAGUCCUCCCACAUAGCUGGCAUUACAGGUUCGAGCCACCACACCUAGCUGCUUCCACACUUAAACAUCCUCCAACAUCUUACCUGGUAGCUCACCGGCAGCUCACAGACACACGUCCAGUGUUCUCUGUGGGAUAGCCCAGGGAUGUAUGAUGAGCAUAAAAAGGACAAUCAGUUAAAAGGCAAAACAAAACUUAAUAGUAAUGAUCCAGAGCAACUUCCUCAGGAUUUUAAAGAGCUCUUCUUAGUUCCUACUCUUCAUCCUCACAAACUUAAUAAGGCAGUUUGCACUUGUGUUUUGCCUCAAGGAUUUUUUUUUCCCUUGCUGUAAGUUGGCCUUGCAAGCAUGCCUUCCCUUCCCUAUUAAAAAAAGAACAGGCCUGGGCAGAUUGUCCUUUUGUGAGAGAGUUUGAAACCUCUCAGGAGGUAACCCUAGAUAUCAGCUGUGUAGGAGGUUGCUGAUAUCUGUGUUUCUCCAGAGGGGCUGAAAAGGACUUCGCUUACAUAAACACUUUCAGCUGAGUGCCUGGAAAUGCUUUGUAAUGGCCUGCAAGAGCACUUAAUGAGGGUCUUUUAUACUUUUCCCAUAGAAAAGGUAGAAUAGAAGAGGGGGGGAUGUCUCUUUCACAUGGUCACCCACAGUAAAGGCCGGAUCCUGGAGCCUACCCCUAGUUUCCUCAUCUGAAUUUUAAUAGAGAAUAAUUGAGGGGGGAUAACUUUGCUGUGCUGAGGGAUAUCUCGACUCAGAAAAUUUCUGCUUCUCCUCAACUCCCUCUUCAUUUUUUUUCUUCCCCAGCAGCCAUGGAAUUUUAUUUCUUGCGGAAGAAGGUGGAAACAGCAUAGGGUUUUGGGAGGAAAAAUGUCCUGUUUCCCCUUAUCCUGAUUGCGUGAUCCAGUGUGAGCAGCCCUUCAUGAUAAAAUCCACUGUGGUUGAUGUAAGGUCACAGUAGAGGAAGCCGCCCUGUCAUCUCUAAUGAGUUGGGAGAACAAGGGUUUCCUUAGACCUCUUUCUCAAUCUUGAAAAUAAAACCAAUAGUUGUCUAUCAUA